Molecule: long non-coding RNA, 277 nt
Organism: Pocillopora damicornis (cauliflower coral)
Lineage: Eukaryota; Metazoa; Cnidaria; Anthozoa; Scleractinia; Pocilloporidae
Source: RefSeq, a predicted model, not a curated record
UUUUUUCUUUAAAUGUCCUUUUAGGCUUGUCAAAUUGCCUCUAAGUUUGGCUGCUCAUCCGCCAACACCGUGAACACCAGGUGUGGCAGUGUUGUUCUCGACUUCAUGAUGAGGUUCAAUCGAAGUGUAGUUGUCAGCAAUGUUUUGACUGUCCUGUUUGAUGCUGCAAUGGAAGACAAAUUCGGAGGUUUUAAAGUCGAUCCAGAAUCAAUUAAACAAGUUUUUAUACCCACAGACGGCUCGGAAAGCACAACAAAAGGUCCUGAGGAAUGUAACU